CUCCUAGAGUCCCAAAUAGGACGAAACACGCGUCCUGGAU
Schistosoma mattheei is the source of this 40-nucleotide non-coding RNA. The record is from Rfam. Lineage: Eukaryota; Metazoa; Platyhelminthes; Trematoda; Strigeidida; Schistosomatidae.